This is a non-coding RNA of Rattus norvegicus (Norway rat), 2859 nucleotides long. Lineage: Eukaryota; Metazoa; Chordata; Mammalia; Rodentia; Muridae. The record is from the annotation of a RefSeq genome assembly.
CUCUGUGUUUUCAACAUCUAAGGAUCAUGAACAUUGUCGAGGUAGCUCUAAAGAUGGACUCUUCUCAGGGCCUCCUGGCUGUGAUGCUCCUCAUCCUCACAAGGGCCCAUGGAGACUCAGUAACUCAGACGCAAGGUCAAGUGGUCCUCUCAGAAAAGGACAUUCUUACUAUACACUGCAACUAUUCAGCCGCAGGGUACCCGGCUCUGUUCUGGUAUCUGCAGUAUCCCGGAGAAGGUCUACAGCUCCUCUUUAGAGCCUCAAAGGCCAACGAGAAGGGAAGCAGCAGAGGUUUCGAAGCUACGUAUGAUAAAGAAACCACGUCCUUCCACUUGCAGAAAGCCUCAGUGCAAGCGUCGGACUCGGCCGUGUACUACUGUGCUCUGAAUGACACAGUGGCAGAAACCACAGAGGGAGCUGAGCACAAACUCUGAGAAGCAGAGGCCUAACCGCUGAGCCUCUGGGAUUGAUUUGGUUCCUCUUUGUGCUGUGUGCCUCUCGGUUUCUCUCGUUGGCACAAAAAUUACACGAGUAGCCUCAAGAGAAAGAACAAGAAGUAGACUCUUUCACCCUCGUCUUGACUGGGACUAAACCAAAAUCCAAUGCAAAAAUACCUUGUGCAGAGGUGAAGGAGCCUCACAGUAAAGCUCUGUGAAUAAGGAAGUGGUCUGUCUGCUCUUCAUAGUAGAUGAAGUCUGUCCUCCACAUUUUCUUUCCACAGCUCUGGUAGGACUAGCUGUAUUUUGUAUUUGCAGGGAACAGGGUGUGCCAGGAAAGGGGGCUUCUGCGUAUCGUCUUCGAAAAGUAUGGCGGCAGAAGUCCCAGGAUGAAGUGAAGGCUUCACCUCAACAAGGCCUUAGAUUCUUCUGAAGGACUGAGCACCUCAGGGGCAGCUGAGCCAAGCCAUUCAUUUUCUUUUUUUAAAGUAAAUAUAAUCACAGCACUCCUGCUUCCUUUCCGUCCCCCAACCCCUCCCAUGAGCGUCCCCUUGCUCCCUCAAAAGUGUGGUCUCAUUUAUAUGUUAUCAUUGCGCGUGCACGCGCGCGCACACACACACACACACACACACACACACACACCUGCUUUAAUAUACAAAAACUGGAAGAGGAGAAUUAGACACUCCCAGGGAUGAGACUCUUAUUGAUUAACAGAUUGAGCAGUCAUUUCUCAAGCCAUUCAGAAAGCAAUAUGGACUCAGUAGAUUUUAUUUAUAUAUAUUUGUGUGCAUGAAUGCUUGUACACACACACACACACACACACACCUACACACACACACACUCACUCACACACUACAUGCUUGUAACAAUAAUAAUAAAAGAAAGUGUUAUCAAUUUGAGAAUUAAGGGUAGGAGGGUUUGAGAGAUGGUAACUCUGAGAAGCUUAAAAGAUGCGAAGGAGGGUAAAGUGGGUAAUUUUAUUUCGAUUACGAACAUAGUUUUUAAAAGGCUGAACUGAAGCUAGAGGUGAAAAACUCAAUUAACUGAAUAAAAAUUCAGAGGAUUUAUUCAUAGGUAACAUUUAAAAUGUUUAAUUAUUUUAAUAUUUUAAUGCAAAAGCCAAUUAUCAGCAAAAGCUCAAAAUCUUAUCAAGCCAUUAAAGAAAAUGGAGACACUUUUUUUCUUCCAAGAAAAAAAAUUAGUGGAAAGCCCCACCAGCAUAGUGGAUCACACAGAAGAGAGACUAUCAAGGCUGAAAGACAAAGGAGACGUCAUUCAAUCAAGGAAAACGAUGAAUGUAAAAUCCUUUGAACAGCUAUUCACCAACUUUGGGACACUGAAAUGAUCAAAUCUGUGAAUUAUGAGCACAGAAGUAAAAGAACUCAAAUUCAAGGGUCUAGGACCUAACUUAAGGGAAUCACAGAGGAAAGUGUUACAAAGUCAAGGAAAGAAAUGCCCAUCUGGGUCUAAGAGGUACAAAGAACACCAAAUGGAUAACACUGGAAACGAACCUUCCCAUGUAUUACAGGGAACAAAACAAAAUAUAGAAAACAAAAGUGGUUCUUGAAAUCUGCAAGAGAGAAGCCACAAAUCACAAACAAAAGGAAAGACAUGAUAAUAGCAGCAGACUCCUGGGAAAAGUUAAAAGACAGAAGAGAUUAAAGCAAUGAAUCACGUCCUAAAUCGCGAUGGAUGCCAGCCUAUACUCUCUGGGAUACAUCGAAAGAGUCCUGAGGGAGAAAGUUAUAGUACGAAAUGUUUUCUCUUAUCUGUACAUGUUAGCUUUGUAUUUAGAUAUGUGUGUUCCAUUUGGAAUAUCCACAAAGGACCUAAAAUUACAAAGGGGCCAUGGUGGGCUGGCAGGGGGGAAGGAGUGGUUUCAAGGAAAGGUUGAGAGAAGCAUCAAUAUAAGAUGUUUAAAAGGGAACUAUAAAACAGAAUGGAUUAAUGAUUAAAUGGAGAAAGAGGGAGAUUGGAUAGAGAAGUGGUUGCUGGGAGGGAAAUUACCACCAAAGACUAAAAAAGUUCCAUGGAAACCUACCACUGUAGAAGCUUCCCAAAGGAUCCAUGGACCGGAAGAAAGGGACAUCUGAUAUUUUUCAUUGAUUUUUGAGUUUAUACUAAAACUAAUUUAAAUAAACUGGUAAAUUAAUUCUUUGAGAGUUUCAUACAACUUUAUUCAUAGCUUAAUCAUAUUCAUCCUUCCUCAACUCCUCCCAAAUCCACUUCACUUCCCAACCUGCCCAACUCCUCUCUCUCUGUCUCUCUCUCUGUCUUUCUGUCUCUCUCUGUCUCUCUCUGUGUGUCUCUGUCUCUGUCCCUCUCUCUGUGUCUCUCUCUCCCCAUCUCUGUGUGUGUCUCUCUCUGUCUCUGUGUCUGUGUCUCUGUCUCUCUGUCUCUCUGUGUGUCUCAGAGGAACUGU